Molecule: ribosomal RNA, 390 nt
Filed under: uncultured bacterium
Lineage: Bacteria
Description: bacterial SSU rRNA
Rfam family: Bacterial small subunit ribosomal RNA
Source: RNAcentral
AUUGAACGCUGGCGGCAUGCCUUACACAUGCAAGUCGAACGGUAACGGGCCUUCGGGUGCCGACGAGUGGCGAACGGGUGAGUAAUGCAUCGGAACGUGCCUUUCAGUGGGGGAUAACGUAGCGAAAGUUACGCUAAUACCGCAUAUUCUGUGAGCAGGAAAGCAGGGGAUCGCAAGACCUUGCGCUGAUUGAGCGGCCGAUGUCAGAUUAGCUAGUUGGUGAGGUAAAGGCUCACCAAGGCGACGAUCUGUAGCGGGUCUGAGAGGAUGAUCCGCCACACUGGAACUGAGACACGGUCCAGACUCCUACGGGAGGCAGCAGUGGGGAAUUUUGGACAAUGGGGGCAACCCUGAUCCAGCCAUGCCGCGUGAGUGAAGAAGGCCUCGGUU